GACGAACGCUGGCGGCGUGCUUAACACAUGCAAGUCGAACGGAAAGGCCCGGCUUUUGUGGGGUGCCCGAGUGGCGAACGGGUGAGUAACACGGGAGUAACCUGCCCUUGCCUUUGGGAUAACUUCAGGAAACUGGGGCUAAUACCGGAUAGGAGCUCCUGCUGCAUGGGGGGGGUUGGAAAGUUUCGGCGGUUGGGGAUGGACUCGCGGCUUAUCAGCUUGUUGGUGGGGUAGUGGCUUACCAAGGCUUUGACGGGUAGCCGGCCUGAGAGGGUGACCGGCCACAUUGGGACUGAGAUACGGCCCAGACUCCUACGGGAGGCAGCAGUGGGGAAUAUUGCACAAUGGGCGGAAGCCUGAUGCAGCAACGCCGCGUGCGGGAUGACGGCCUUCGGGUUGUAAACCGCUUUCGCCUGUGACGAAGCGUGAGUGACGGUAAUGGGUAAAGAAGCACCGGCUAACUACGUG
Molecule: ribosomal RNA, 468 nt
Filed under: uncultured bacterium
Lineage: Bacteria
Description: partial 16S ribosomal RNA
Rfam family: Bacterial small subunit ribosomal RNA
Source: RNAcentral